This 231-nucleotide unclassified non-coding RNA is filed under the name Hevea brasiliensis (rubber tree). Lineage: Eukaryota; Viridiplantae; Streptophyta; Magnoliopsida; Malpighiales; Euphorbiaceae. The record is from RNAcentral.
GCUGGGGAACCAAAAGGCCAAUCGUACUUGCUUUUUAGGCCAUUCUAUUGAGUGUGAUUUAGCUAAUGAACUUAAGCUUAUCCAUUUCUAGUUUUGAGUAUUUGUUAGACAACCUUCGCCUCAUGCUUAUUGAGCACAUAGCCUUUUGCACUAUGGAUGCCUAGCUUUAGGUAUUCAUUAGGAUGCCUAAAGUCUGGACAUCAUAUAUUUCAUCAUUGCUGGCUGUUGUUU